RNAcentral lists this ribosomal RNA (497 nucleotides) under uncultured bacterium. Its description in RNAcentral is "partial 16S ribosomal RNA". It matches the Rfam family "Bacterial small subunit ribosomal RNA", at positions 28 to 507 of the family's 1533-position model. The record is from RNAcentral.
GAUGAACGCUGGCGGCGUGCCUAAUACAUGCAAGUCGAGCGAACGGACGAGAAGCUUGCUUCUCUGAUGUUAGCGGCGGACGGGUGAGUAACACGUGGAUAACCUACCUAUAAGACUGGGAUAACUUCGGGAAACCGUAGCUAAUACCGGAUAAUAUUUUGAACCGCAUGGUUCAAAAGUGAAAGACGGUCUUGCUGUCACUUAUAGAUGGAUCCGCGCUGCAUUAGCUAGUUGGUAAGGUAACGGCUUACCAAGGCAACGAUGCAUAGCCGACCUGAGAGGGAGAGCGGCCACACUGGAACAGAGACACGGUCCAGACUCCUACGGGAAGCAGCAGUAGGGAAUCUUCCGCAAUGGGCGAGAGCCUAACGUAGCAACGCCGCGUGAGUGAUGAAGGUCUUCGGAUCGUAAAACGCUGUUAUUAGGGAAGAACAUAUGUGUAAGUAACUGUGCACAUCUUGACGGUACCUAAUCAGAAAGCCACGGCUAACUACGUG